This 83-nucleotide ribosomal RNA is filed under the name uncultured bacterium. RNAcentral's name for it is "partial 16S ribosomal RNA". The record is from RNAcentral.
AAGACGCUUUUCGGAGUGUAAACUGCUUUUAUAUAUGACGAUUAUGACGGUAAUAUAUGAAUAAGGAUCGGCUAACUACGUGC